Notolabrus celidotus (New Zealand spotty) is the source of this 480-nucleotide long non-coding RNA. RefSeq lists it as uncharacterized. Lineage: Eukaryota; Metazoa; Chordata; Actinopteri; Labriformes; Labridae. The record is from RefSeq and is a predicted model, not a curated record. The transcript has 3 exons.
AGACCGCAGCCUCCUUCUUCUCCUCCUCCUCCUCCUCAGCCGCUCAUCAUGCACACACGCACCGCGUUGUUGUGGUAGCUGUAAUUCACCUUCACAUCAACGGAACAUGGAGGAUUUCACCUUAUUCUUCGAUGAUGGGCUCGUCCGAUGCUCAGCUAAUGCCCUCCGUCGACAGAGUGGUGUCCAGGCAGUGUGGUUCGGCUGGUAAAUACACAGAUCUACAGGAUGUCCACUGGCCUGCUUUGAUAGAAGUGGUGUGAUGUGGCCUGAGGAUCACCUGAUGGACUGACAUUUGACCACAGACCAAUGAGCUUUGUCCGAUGAACCCCAUCUGAAAGUAGGAAGUGACUCUAUAACUACAGACACAAAGACAGGAACAGAGUCAGCAACUCCUGGACCUCAGUAUAAGGUGAAUGUUGGCCUCCACAAAACACAAGGAACUUCCGUUUGAACUUGAUUUUAGCUCCCCUUGUGGACAUA